UACGAAGGGUGCAAGCGUUACUCGGAAUUACUGGGCGUAAAGGGUGCGUAGGUGGUUGUUUAAGUCUGUUGUGAAAGCCCCGGGCUCAACCUGGGAAUGGCAAUGGAUACUGGACAGCUAGAGUGCGGUAGAGGGUAGUGGAAUUCCCGGUGUAGCAGUGAAAUGCGUAGAGAUCGGGAGGAACACCUGUGGCGAAGGCGGCCACCUGGUUGGAUACUGACGCUGAGACGCGAAAGCGUGGGGAGCAAACAGG
RNAcentral lists this ribosomal RNA (253 nucleotides) under uncultured bacterium. RNAcentral describes it as "partial 16S ribosomal RNA". It matches the Rfam family "Bacterial small subunit ribosomal RNA", at positions 524 to 776 of the family's 1533-position model. The record is from RNAcentral.